GACAGAGGGUGCAAACGUUGUUCGGAAUUACUGGGCGUAAAGCGUGUGUAGGCGGCCGCGCAAGUCGGAUGUGAAAGCCCUGGGCUCAACUCAGGAAGUGCACCCGAUACUGCGUGGCUCGAGUACCGGAGAGGUUGGUGGAAUUCUCGGUGUAGAGGUGAAAUUCGUAGAUAUUCGGAAGAACACCAGUGGCGAAGGCGGCUCACUGGACCGGUAUUGACGCUGAGGUGCGAAAGCGUGGGGAGCAAACAGG
RNAcentral lists this ribosomal RNA (253 nucleotides) under uncultured bacterium. RNAcentral's name for it is "partial 16S ribosomal RNA". It matches the Rfam family "Bacterial small subunit ribosomal RNA", at positions 524 to 776 of the family's 1533-position model. The record is from RNAcentral.